ACCUACCACGACCGGUCAUUUGACCGGUAGUACGAUUUAUACAUUUAUGUAAGAGUUUCUCUCUAAGACUCAAUGCCAAAACUAUAAAGUCGUUACAAACGAAAGUUCUCACUCGACUAUCGGGCUAGCGGUGUUUAUUUGCUUGAUUGAUAUCCGAUACGGUCAAGAUCCUCGAAUGUUCUACGCCAUCUCAUCUACUAUGACGUAAAAUAAAUAAACUUGUAACUGAAGGAAGUGUAUAGACGUCUUCUCACGAAUUCAAAUCAGUAUAGUCUUGCGACACGAACAGAGUGCAUCGAACGUGAAA
RNAcentral lists this long non-coding RNA (307 nucleotides) under Polistes fuscatus (common paper wasp). Its description in RNAcentral is "uncharacterized LOC122525903". The record is from RNAcentral. Lineage: Eukaryota; Metazoa; Arthropoda; Insecta; Hymenoptera; Vespidae.